GACGAACGCUGGCGGCGUGCUUAACACAUGCAAGUCGAACGGAAAGGCCCUGCUUUUGUGGGGUGCUCGAGUGGCGAACGGGUGAGUAACACGUGAGUAACCUGCCCUUGACUUUGGGAUAACUUCAGGAAACUGGGGCUAAUACCGGAUAGGAGCUCCUGCUGCAUGGUGGGGGUUGGAAAGUUUCGGCGGGUGGGGAUGGACUCGCGGCUUAUCAGCUUGUUGGUGGGGGAGUGGCUUACCAAGGCGUUGAUGGGUAGCCGGCCGGAGAGGGUGACCGGGCACACUGGGAGUGAGACACGACCCAGACUCCUACGGGAGGCAGGAGUGGGGAAGUUGGGACAAUGGGGGCAACCCUGAUCCAGCCAUGCCGCGUGCGGGAAGCAGGCCUGCGGGUUGUAAACCGCUUUUGUGCGGGAAGAAAGCCUCUGGGCUAAUACCCCGGGGGGAGGACGGGACCGGAAGAAUAAGCACCGGCUAACUACGU
This 487-nucleotide ribosomal RNA is filed under the name uncultured bacterium. RNAcentral's name for it is "partial 16S ribosomal RNA". It matches the Rfam family "Bacterial small subunit ribosomal RNA", at positions 28 to 506 of the family's 1533-position model. The record is from RNAcentral.